GCCAUGAUACAGAGCAUGCAUGUUUGAGCUACAGUAUGAUGGGUUCAAUGCAUGUGGACUUGACAGGAAGAAAAAGGUCAGGGGAGACGCUGCAAACUGCCACCAGGAGAAGCAAGAUGUGAAAGUCCCGGUUCACCAAUAGAAGGCAGCCACAAAGAUGAUCCUACAGAUUUUAUUGGCUCUCAUACACCAAGAUCAAAGUCCUUCUAGAAAUAUAAUGCAUGCAUGGCUCAUUGAGAUACAGAAGGCUACUGCCUAAAGCCCACCACCUGGACAGCUCUCCAGGAUUGAUGUUCUUCAAGGGCUGGUAGUCAAAGGACCAUUUAGGAUUCAUGCAACAUCUGGCACCCAAUGUGGGGUCUGAACCCAUGACCUUGAGGUUAAGAGUCUCAUCCUCUACCUACAGAAGAUUCAUGCAACACAGUAGUAUCUAAAGAAGAUAAACAUUCUAAAAUAAUACAAGGUGACAUAAAUAAAUCUAAGUACUGAUCUUACAGAUGCUCAGAGAGCUAUGCUAACAAAAGUAAGACAGCU
Non-coding RNA from Peromyscus maniculatus bairdii (prairie deer mouse), 534 nucleotides. The record is from RefSeq and is a predicted model, not a curated record. NCBI's taxonomy places the organism in Eukaryota, Metazoa, Chordata, Mammalia, Rodentia, Cricetidae.